RNAcentral lists this ribosomal RNA (253 nucleotides) under uncultured bacterium. RNAcentral describes it as "partial 16S ribosomal RNA". It matches the Rfam family "Bacterial small subunit ribosomal RNA", at positions 524 to 776 of the family's 1533-position model. The record is from RNAcentral.
UACGUAGGGGGCAAGCGUUGUUCGGAAUUACUGGGCGUAAAGGGCGCGUAGGCGGAUAUUUAAGUCAGGGGUGAAAGCCCGGGGCUCAACCUCGGAACUGCCUUUGAUACUGGAUAUCUUGAGUUCGGGAGAGGUGAGUGGAAUGCCGAGUGUAGAGGUGAAAUUCGUAGAUAUUCGGCGGAACACCAGUGGCGAAGGCGACUCACUGGCCCGAUACUGACGCUGAGGCGCGAAAGCGUGGGGAGCAAACAGG